RNAcentral lists this long non-coding RNA (442 nucleotides) under Ananas comosus (pineapple). Its description in RNAcentral is "long non-coding RNA (ACOM_LNC024793)". Lineage: Eukaryota; Viridiplantae; Streptophyta; Magnoliopsida; Poales; Bromeliaceae. The record is from RNAcentral.
AUAGAAUAUUCUCGACUGUUUUUCUGGUGAAACUGUAAAAAACAUAUCGUAAUCGAUUCAUUACAUUCUAAAAAUUUGUCUCGUUAUGUUAUUUAUUUUGCAUAUGAAAAAAUAUAUAAAAUGGAUACAUCUAUAGAUCGAAAUUGAAAUAACUGCUUUUAUAUGUAGUAAGGCUUCGUUUGAGAUUGAAAGAGCGACGAUAGAAAAAUAUCAUGUUUGUUUCCGUACGUAAUAUUGCGUUUUGCAUAUCGCACUGAGUCGAUUACGAUAUAUUUUCUCCGGUCCCAUCAAAGAACGCAGAAGCAUAUCCCUGUAUGCUUUUUCCUCAACUCUAUUUUAUCUAAUAGCGUUAGAUAGAUCUCAAUAUCAAACUAAGUCUAAGUAUGAAUAUGAAUAUGGACAUAGAUAUAAAAUUAUUCCAAUUUUAUUACGGAUCUAAAAC